RNAcentral lists this ribosomal RNA (491 nucleotides) under uncultured bacterium. Its description in RNAcentral is "partial 16S ribosomal RNA". It matches the Rfam family "Bacterial small subunit ribosomal RNA", at positions 29 to 506 of the family's 1533-position model. The record is from RNAcentral.
AGUGAACGCUGGCGGUAGGCCUAACACAUGCGAGUCGAACGGCAGCACAGUAAGAGCUUGCUCUUACGGGUGGCGAGUGGCGGACGGGUGAGGAAUACAUCGGAAUCUACUUUUUCGUGGGGGAUAACGUAGGGAAACUUACGCUAAUACCGCAUACGACCUACGGGUGAAAGCAGGGGAUCUUCGGACCUUGCGCGAUUGAAUGAGCCGAUGUCGGAUUAGCUAGUUGGCGGGGUAAAGGCCCACCAAGGCGACGAUCCGUAGCUGGUCUGAGAGGAUGAUCAGCCACACUGGAACUGAGACACGGUCCAGACUCCUACGGGGGGCAGCGGUGGGGAAUUUUGGACAAGGGGGGCAAGCCUGAUCCAGCCAUACCGGGGGGGUGAAGAAGGCCUUCGGGUGUUAAAGCCCUUUUGUUGGGAAAAAAAAGCAGCAGGUUAAUACCCCGCUGUUCUGACGGUACCCAAAAAAUAAGCACCGGCUAACUUCGU